CAAAGAAGGGAGAACAUACCACAGUUCAAUCGGGUUAGAAGAUUUUGCAACAAUAGACAUAGAAGAAAUACCUGCAGUUCCUGAAGCUGAAACCUUUACAACAUAGAUGAUGCACCAAUAGUUUGUUUUGAUUUAAAGACAAAUGGUUUAAGUAUAUAUUCUGAUAUAACCCAGAUAGCUGCAUGCAUCAAAGACAGUUCCUUCAGUCGAUAUAUAUUUCCAGACCAACAAAUUUCAAGAGAAGCAUCAGAAAUAACAAAAAUCACUAUUGUAGGACAAAAAAUGUAUUACAAUGGUAAUGCUGUUGUUUAUAAGCAUAAACAUGAAAGAAUGACUGAUUUUUAACUUAUUUGUAUUUGUCAAGUUUCACAGAUAAACCUGUAUUGGUAGGACAUAAUAUAAAACGAUUUGACUGCCAUGUUUUAUUUCAUACCUUAAAAUCUAUGAAUAUGUACAGUGAACUAUGUGCAAGAACUGUUGCAUUUUUAGACUCUUUGAAUUUGUUUAAACUCGUUUCA
Mytilus californianus (California mussel) is the source of this 518-nucleotide long non-coding RNA. RefSeq lists it as uncharacterized. Lineage: Eukaryota; Metazoa; Mollusca; Bivalvia; Mytilida; Mytilidae. The record is from RefSeq and is a predicted model, not a curated record. The transcript is spliced from 3 exons.